AUUGAACGCUGGCGGCAGGCCUAACACAUGCAAGUCGAACGAGUGGCGGACGGGUGAGUAAUGUCUGGGAAACUGCCUGAUGGAGGGGGAUAACUACUGGAAACGGUAGCUAAUACCGCAUACCAUCAGAUGUGCCCAGAUGGGAUUAGCUUGUUGGUGGGGUAACGGCUCACCAAGGCGACGAUCCCUCGCGAGUCUGAGAGGAUGACCAGCCAGACGGGAACUGAGACACGGUCCAGACCCCUACGGGGGUAAGCAGUGGGGAAUAUUGCACAAUGGGCGCAAUCCUGAUGCAGCCAUGCCGCGUGUAUGAAGAGGGCCUUCGGGUUUUAAAGUACGUUCAGCGGGGAGGCGUUACCCGCAGAAGAAGCACCGGCUAACUCCGUGCCAGCAGCCGCGGUAAUAC
Molecule: ribosomal RNA, 406 nt
Filed under: uncultured bacterium
Lineage: Bacteria
Description: partial 16S ribosomal RNA
Rfam family: Bacterial small subunit ribosomal RNA
Source: RNAcentral